This 75-nucleotide non-coding RNA is filed under the name chicken gut metagenome. RNAcentral describes it as "Glycine riboswitch". It matches the Rfam family "Glycine riboswitch aptamer", at positions 9 to 86 of the family's 94-position model. From Rfam's summary of the family: This family represents the bacterial glycine riboswitch. Glycine riboswitches usually consist of two metabolite-binding aptamers domains with similar structures in tandem. The record is from RNAcentral.
CUCCAGGAGAGGCCGGGCGGCAGUGUGCAGCGCCGGGCGCCGAAGGGGCAGAAACUCUCAGGCAAAAGGACUGGG